AGUGAACGCUGGCGGUAGGCCUAACACAUGCAAGUCGAACGGCAGCACAGUAGGAGCUUGCUCUUACGGGUGGCGAGUGGCGGACGGGUGAGGAAUACAUCGGAAUCUACUUUUUCGUGGGGGAUAACGUAGGGAAACUUACGCUAAUACCGCAUACGACCUACGGGUGAAAGCAGGGGAUCUUCGGACCUUGCGCGAUUGAAUGAGCCGAUGUCGGAUUAGCUAGUUGGCGGGGUAAAGGCCCACCAAGGCGAGGAUCCGUAGCUGGUCUGAGAGGAUGAUCAGGCGCAGAAGGACUGAAACACUGUCCAGAAGCUUUAAGGGCGCCGCUACGGGGAAAGUUAGAAUAAUGGGCGAAACCUUCAGCAGGCAAAUCGGGUCGAACCAGAAAGACGUCUGGUUGUUAAGGCCGUAUGAUAGGAAAGAAAAGGAAGAGGGUAAAUCCCCACGGUUAUUACCUUAACCAAAGAAUAAGCACCGGCUAACUUCGUG
RNAcentral lists this ribosomal RNA (492 nucleotides) under uncultured bacterium. RNAcentral's name for it is "partial 16S ribosomal RNA". It matches the Rfam family "Bacterial small subunit ribosomal RNA", at positions 29 to 507 of the family's 1533-position model. The record is from RNAcentral.